Long non-coding RNA from Peromyscus leucopus (white-footed mouse), 1968 nucleotides. RefSeq lists it as uncharacterized. The transcript is spliced from 3 exons. NCBI's taxonomy places the organism in Eukaryota, Metazoa, Chordata, Mammalia, Rodentia, Cricetidae. The record is from RefSeq and is a predicted model, not a curated record.
UCCACAAUCAGCAACUGCUGAUGACUGAAAGAUCCUUUUAAGUGACUGAAGUUUACUUUUCUGAGCUAUUAUUCUAUUAGCGAUAUUAAAACACCCACAAAUGUUUUUACUUCAAAAAUGUUUUUAAGCAGGGCAUGGUGCCGGAACUUGGGAAACAAAGACAGGUAGAUCGCUAUGUGUUUGAGGCUGGCCUGGAUUACACAGUGAGUUCUAGGACAGCCUGAGCUACAUAGUAAGAUCAUGUCUCAUAAAACAAAACCACAAGAAAUGUUUUUUAAAAGCUAUGAAGACAGCUGAUGGCACUAUCAAUACAAAAAUACAGUAACAUUAUUUAUUUGUGUAUUGUAGUAGAGAAUAAGAAAUAAAGUAUCAGUUUAUAACACUUACGUAAUCACUUCUGUAUCUCAGCCUUCCUUUGAAAUGAAGACCCACAGUGGUCAGUGUUCAGUUCCUGCACCAAUGCUGGUGUACUUAAAGGCCGAAAGCCACUUUGUAGUGCUCAAUAAACUAAGAAUAAAGAUUCCCCCAAGAGCUGCUUAAUGGAGAGCAGAACUGGCAGCAUUAGUUACCAGCAAUCUGUUUUGGCAGGAUGUAAAUAAUUAGCAAGGUUGUUUCCAUGCUUUUAGAAGGAAAAAUUACAAUGAUAGUUUUAAAUCACUACUUUCAAAUAAACAUCACUCAUCAUAUCUGGCACCUCAAUUGAUCCACUUAAAGAUGAUCCCUGGAAUUAAGUACUGUUUUACACAAAUAGAAGAGAGAUAUAAAAACAUAAAAUGUGUGCUUUAGGAUAUACACUCUUCAGAUUCAAUGAAAAUAAUUUCAGUUUCAGGUUUUUUAUAUGGAGCAUGCAAUCAAAUCAUCUGUUUAACACCAUUAUUAGAAAGAGCUUUAAAGUUAGACUCUUGUUCACAUUCUAUUGUUGAAAUGCACUAAAAAUGUAAAUUGUUCCAAACAGUGGUUGGCAAAUACAAGAGAUUGUACAAGUUUAAAAAUUAUUGAGAAAAAUUAAACCUAUAAACCAUUGGAUGUCUAAUUUUUUUUAACAUUAAAAUUAAAGAAGUUAAUAAUAAGUAUAUUUAUGUUUUCUACAUUUUUUCUUACACCAAUUAACUUAAAUCUAUGAAAACUAAAAAAAUGGAUGCAGGGAGUGUGUUAGGACCAGAAGAGUGGACUAGCCAAGAGGCACUAAUCUUUUUUCCCUUUUCUUUUCUCAAUGCUUGAGCUGCUGAUAAUCGUGAUGGAUGCUGCAAGCUGGGAGACAACAUGUUGUGGAAAAUGGAGUCUAUGUCUGCGUGUGGAGACAGCAUUGGACUCUGGGGACCAUGUUGCCUGUGCCUGAUCAGAAGCUAGCUGCCUGUGCAUCCAAUGACUUCCUUCAUGUUCCCUCUCCACCACACAAGAUCUGACCAACUGUCGUCUCAGCUAAGGUUUCUGAAGACCUCCACCUGGCCACCAGAGUAAACUCUCACUAUUCUCAGCAUGUUUAUGAGACAUCUUCUACAUGUUUAGCAUAUGAUAAACAAGGAACAACUAAAUUUCAGAAGACUUAUUAGCACCAUUAGAUGAAUUAUGGAGUAUGAUUGGUAUUGAAAUCAACUAAUCCUUUUUAGUUUGUGGCCCUUUACUGGGGAAGAUGGCUGUGUCGGAUUGUAUUUGAGUCCAACAUCUUGUUUCCGAUGAUAUCUAUCAACACCCUCACCAUUGUUUUUAAUUGAAGAAUUAAUACUUCAUCAAAAAUUUUCCUUUUGGCUGUAAAAUUUUGAUUCAGCAGUAAAGUCGGGUUUAUUCAUUUGGAGAACAGGAAUUUUUUUUUUCUGCUCCAUGCCAAGUCUAGAGUGUGUAGGGCAGUAGAUAUUUAUUGCUUUUCAAACAUCAUUAUUUUUUCCAUUCACACAUCCAGUGAGAACUGUGAGCUUUGUAAGCAGAUUUAUGACUGACAAAAAAGAAAUACAGUGAUAAAUUCAUUAA